This 1056-nucleotide long non-coding RNA is filed under the name Calidris pugnax (ruff). RNAcentral's name for it is "lncRNA (ENSCPUG00000009386.1)". The record is from RNAcentral. Lineage: Eukaryota; Metazoa; Chordata; Aves; Charadriiformes; Scolopacidae.
AUGGAAACUGUUAUGGCCGCCAACAGCGACUGGCUGGGCUAUGGAGCGGGGCGAGGUAACUCCGCGAGGGGCGCUGGGUGGGGGGUGCGGGAUGCGGCGGCCUGGCGCCGGCCAGGACCGGGCAGGAGGUGCGAGCGGCCGCGGGACUGGAAGCCGCCGUGUGGUAGGGCCGAGCCGUUAAAUAGUCCCGCGCCCCCCCUGCCCCCUCCGGCCGCGGGAGGUUGGCGGGGCGGCCGGGGCCGGCGGCGGGGCGGCGAGCGGCCCGGAGUCAGGCUGCACGCGGGGAGCGGCCGAGAGUAUCUCAUGUCCGGCUCCGAGCCCUUCCGUGGCGCCGUAUCCUUCCGCUGCCCUACGCGGGCCCCGGCGCGGCGUCGCGGGAAGUGCGCAGCCCUCCGGGGCCGGGUGGGCGCCCCGUGGCGGGCGGGGUGGGGGCAGCGUCGCUCGGCGGGGCCGCCCGAGGAGAUGGGUGGCUGCCGAGGAGGAGCUGGGAAGGAGAGGUGUCCUUACUCGCCCCCGCCCCCAUUUCGGGCAGCGCUCGGUGCUGCCGCCGCGGUGUGGCGGAGCCCGCGGCGCGGCUCUGAGGUGGGGGCGGCCCCGGGGCUUACGCCGAACCCUGCCGGAUCGGCCUCGGCCACCGCUUGGUGUUCUGUCCCUGCUUCUCCCUGCCUGCUCGUCCCGGGAACGAGGGGACGGGCCGCGCCGUGGCCCCGCUCUGCAGCGAGCCCCGUCACGCUCCCGGUGGAGUCGCUGCCGUUACCGGCGGGGGCGGGGGGCCCNNNNNNNNNNGGGUGCAGGUGCGUUGUGUGGCUGCGUGUCACCGGGGCUUGGAGCCGCUGCUUUCCUAAAGUGCAAGUUUGCUGUGGGGUGUCUGUUAGCUUUGAGAGCGAUUUAGUAACUUCUGUUUCUUUUGUAUUUAAUUUUACAAAAGCAGCGUUUUUCGGUGUCAGGCUCUGUCUGAGCACCGGGCUCCGUGGGUUCCUGAGGUUGUGGUUCUGUGCCCAGGGCUCUCAGAGCUGCAGGCACCACUCUGAGUGCUCACACACGUGUAGCAUGUGA